Molecule: transfer RNA, 59 nt
Filed under: Klebsiella pneumoniae
Lineage: Bacteria; Pseudomonadati; Pseudomonadota; Gammaproteobacteria; Enterobacterales; Enterobacteriaceae
Also listed under: 1 other name
Description: tRNA-Ser
Rfam family: tRNA
About the family: Transfer RNA (tRNA) molecules are approximately 80 nucleotides in length. Their secondary structure includes four short double-helical elements and three loops (D, anti-codon, and T loops).
Source: RNAcentral
GCGUUCGUAGCUCAGUUGGUUAGAGCNNGUCGUUGGUUCGAGUCCAAUUAAACGCACCA